AGCGAACGCUGGCGGCAGGCUUAACACAUGCAAGUCGAACGGGCAUAGCAAUAUGUCAGUGGCAGACGGGUGAGUAACGCGUGGGAACGUACCUUUUGGUUCGGAACAACACAGGGAAACUUGUGCUAAUACCGGAUAAGCCCUUACGGGGAAAGAUUUAUCGCCGAAAGAUCGGCCCGCGUCUGAUUAGCUAGUUGGUAGGGUAAUGGCCUACCAAGGCGACGAUCAGUAGCUGGUCUGAGAGGAUGAUCAGCCACAUUGGGACUGAGACACGGCCCAAACUCCUACGGGAAGCAGCAGUGGGGAAUAUUGGACAAUGGGCGAAAGCCUGAUCCAGCCAUGCCGCGUGAGUGAUGAAGGCCCUAGGGUUGUAAAGCUCUUUUGUGCGGGAAGAUAAUGACGGUACCGCAAGAAUAAGCCCCGGCUAACUUUGUG
This 435-nucleotide ribosomal RNA is filed under the name uncultured bacterium. Its description in RNAcentral is "partial 16S ribosomal RNA". It matches the Rfam family "Bacterial small subunit ribosomal RNA", at positions 29 to 507 of the family's 1533-position model. The record is from RNAcentral.